RNAcentral lists this ribosomal RNA (366 nucleotides) under Triticum aestivum (bread wheat). RNAcentral's name for it is "partial small subunit ribosomal RNA". Lineage: Eukaryota; Viridiplantae; Streptophyta; Magnoliopsida; Poales; Poaceae. The record is from RNAcentral.
AUGACGCCGCCGCCUGCACCGCCACCGAGGACGAGAUUACGAGAACCCACGCCCCAGCCGCCAUCGCCGCCGCCGAUCCCUUCGCCGUCGCCGCCGCCGGUCCCUGGCCGCCAUCGCAGAUCCCUUUGCUGCCGCCGAGGUCCUGGAGGAGCCGCCACCACCUUCAUUGCGGACCUCCAGGUCGCCGUCGGGACACCGCGGCAGAGGUUCGCCACGGCCGCCGUCGAGUUCCAAGAGGGGCAUGACCCCAGGGAGAUCUUCGUCGGGGUUGCCGCCGCCGCUGACGUCGCCUGCCGAAGAGAGGAAAGGUACGGUGCCGUCGAUCGUCCUGCCUAUGGAUUCACUGGAUGCGUCUUGGUGGAGUGA